AGCUAGGGUAGCAAACGGGAUUAGAGACCCCGGUAGUCCUAGCCCUAAACGAUGUAGACUUGGCGUCGGUGGUUUAAUCGCCAUCGGUGUCGUAGCUAACGCGNUAAGUCUACCGCCUGGGGACUACGGCCGCAAGGUUAAAACUCAAAGGAAUUGACGGGUCCCCGCACAAGCAGCGGAGCGUGUGGUUUAAUUCGAUGCUACACGAAGAACCUUACCUGGGUUUGACAUAGAGGUAGUAGGGAAGCGAAAGCGGACCGACCCUUCGGGGAGCCUCUACAGGUGUUGCAUGGCUGUCGUCAGCUCGUGUCGUGAGAUGUUCGGUUAAGUCCGCUAACGAGCGCAACCCUCGCUGUGUGUUACAAGUGUCACACGGUACUGCCGAUAUUAAGU
This 393-nucleotide ribosomal RNA is filed under the name uncultured Chloroflexota bacterium. RNAcentral describes it as "bacterial SSU rRNA". It matches the Rfam family "Bacterial small subunit ribosomal RNA", at positions 758 to 1163 of the family's 1533-position model. The record is from RNAcentral. Lineage: Bacteria; Bacillati; Chloroflexota.